Molecule: ribosomal RNA, 433 nt
Filed under: uncultured bacterium
Lineage: Bacteria
Description: partial 16S ribosomal RNA
Rfam family: Bacterial small subunit ribosomal RNA
Source: RNAcentral
AACGAACGCUGGCGGCAUGCCUAACACAUGCAAGUCGAACGAUCCCUUCGGGGAUAGUGGCGCACGGGUGCGUAACGCGUGGGAACCUGCCCUUAGGUUCGGAAUAACUCAGAGAAAUUUGAGCUAAUACCGGAUAAUGUCUUCGGACCAAAGAUUUAUCGCCUUUGGAUGGGCCCGCGUUGGAUUAGCUAGUUGGUGGGGUAAAGGCCUACCAAGGCGACGAUCCAUAGCUGGUCUGAGAGGAUGAUCAGCCACACUGGGACUGAGACACGGCCCAGACUCCUACGGGAGACAGCAGUGGGGAAUAUUGGACAAUGGGCGAAAGCCUGAUCCAGCAAUGCCGCGUGAGUGAUGAAGGCCUUAGGGUUGUAAAGCUCUUUUACCCGGGAUGAUAAUGACAGUACCGGGAGAAUAAGCCCCGGCUAACUCCGUG